UACCCUAUGGCUCAGUUGGCUAGCGCGUGGAGCUGUUAUCUUCAACACACUCCGAGGUCCACGGUUCGAGCCCGUGUGGGGUAG
Molecule: transfer RNA, 84 nt
Filed under: Apiotrichum porosum
Lineage: Eukaryota; Fungi; Basidiomycota; Tremellomycetes; Trichosporonales; Trichosporonaceae
Description: Trichosporon porosum tRNA
Rfam family: tRNA
About the family: Transfer RNA (tRNA) molecules are approximately 80 nucleotides in length.
Source: Rfam by way of RNAcentral